GUAGAGGUGGCUCAGUGGUUAAGAGCACUGACUGCUCUUCCAGAGGUCCUGAGUUCAAAUCCCAACAACCACA
Molecule: non-coding RNA, 73 nt
Organism: Rattus norvegicus (Norway rat)
Lineage: Eukaryota; Metazoa; Chordata; Mammalia; Rodentia; Muridae
Source: Rfam